Molecule: unclassified non-coding RNA, 293 nt
Filed under: uncultured fungus
Lineage: Eukaryota; Fungi
Description: sequence contains ITS1
Source: RNAcentral
AGGACUACACGGGUUUCUAAUCCUGUUUGCUCCCCACGCUUUCGUGCCUCAGUGUCAGUACUGGUCCAGGUGGCCGCCUUCGCCACGGAUGUUCCUCCUGAUCUCUACGCAUCUCACUGCUACACCAGGAAUUCCGCCACCCUCUACCGUACUCUAGCCCGCCAGUAUCCAAUGCAAUUCCCAGGUUGAGCCCGGGGCUUUCACAUCAGACUUAACGAACCACCUACGCACGCUUUACGCCCAGUAAUUCCGAGUAACGCUUGCACCCUUCGUAUUACCGCGGCGGCUGGCAC